GGCUAGAGUCUUGUAGAGGGGGGUAGAAUUCCAGGUGUAGCGGUGAAAUGCGUAGAGAUCUGGAGGAAUACCGGUGGCGAAGGCGGCCCCCUGGACUAAGACUGACGCUCAGGUGCGAAAGCGUGGGGAGCAAACAGGAUUAGAUACCCUGGUAGUCCACGCCGUAAACGAUGUCGAUUUGGAGGUUGUGCCCUUGAGGCGGGGCUUCCGGAGCUAACGCGUUAAAUCGACCGCCUGGGGAGUACGGCCGCAAGGUUAAAACUCAAAUGAAUUGACGGGGGCCCGCACAAGCGGUGGAGCAUGUGGUUUAAUUC
RNAcentral lists this ribosomal RNA (314 nucleotides) under Klebsiella pneumoniae. RNAcentral's name for it is "bacterial SSU rRNA". It matches the Rfam family "Bacterial small subunit ribosomal RNA", at positions 639 to 952 of the family's 1533-position model. The record is from RNAcentral. Lineage: Bacteria; Pseudomonadati; Pseudomonadota; Gammaproteobacteria; Enterobacterales; Enterobacteriaceae.